AGGAUAAACGCUGGCGGCGUGCAUGAGACAUGCAAGUCGAACGGACACGUAGGGCUUGCUCUUCGUGUUAGUGGCGGACGGCUGAGUAACGCGUAGGUGACCUGCCCCGAAGUGGGGAAUAACUGCCCGAAAGGGUGGCUAAUACCGCAUGUGGUGGUGUGUUCAUUCACACCAGUAAAGCCGCAAGGCGCUUCGGGAGGGGCCUGCGUCCGAUUAGCUCGUUGGUGGGGUAACGGCUCACCAAGGCGACGAUCGGUAGGUGGUCUGAGAGGACGAUCACCCAGACUGGGGACUGAGACACGGCCCAGACUCCUACGGGAGGCAGCAGUCGGGAAUUUUGCGCAAUGGACGAAAGUCUGACGCAGCAACGCCGCGUGAGGGAUGAAGGCCUUCGGGUUGUAACCGUCUUUAUCAGGGAAGAUAAUGACGGUACCUGAUGAAUAAGUCACGGCUAACUACGUGCCAGCAGCCGCGGUAA
Molecule: ribosomal RNA, 478 nt
Filed under: uncultured bacterium
Lineage: Bacteria
Description: SSU rRNA
Rfam family: Bacterial small subunit ribosomal RNA
Source: RNAcentral